This 254-nucleotide ribosomal RNA is filed under the name uncultured bacterium. RNAcentral's name for it is "partial 16S ribosomal RNA". It matches the Rfam family "Bacterial small subunit ribosomal RNA", at positions 524 to 776 of the family's 1533-position model. The record is from RNAcentral.
UACGUAGGGUGCGAGCGUUGUCCGGAAUUAUUGGGCGUAAAGGGCUCGUAGGCGGUUUGUCGCGUCGGGAGUGAAAACACACAGCUUAACUGUGUGCUUGCUUCCGAUACGGGCAUGACUGGAGUUCGGCAGGGGAGACUGGAAUUCCUGGUGUAGCGGUGAAAUGCGCAGAUAUCAGGAGGAACACCGGUGGCGAAGGCGGGUCUCUGGGCCGAUACUGACGCUGAGGAGCGAAAGCGUGGGGAGCGAACAGG